This 357-nucleotide ribosomal RNA is filed under the name uncultured bacterium. Its description in RNAcentral is "bacterial SSU rRNA". It matches the Rfam family "Bacterial small subunit ribosomal RNA", at positions 29 to 417 of the family's 1533-position model. The record is from RNAcentral.
AGCGAACGCUGGCGGCAGGCCUAACACAUGCAAGUCGAGCGCUCGUAGCAAUACGAGAGCGGCAGACGGGAGAGUAACACGUGGGAACGUGCCCUUCGGUUCGGAAUAACUCAGGGAAACUUGAGCUAAUACCGGAUACGCCUUACGGGAAGAUUAUUGCGAAGGAGCGCCCGCGUCUGAUUAGCUAGUUGGUGAGGUAACGGCUCACCAAGGCGACGAUCAGUAGCNGGUCUGAGAGGAUGACCAGCCUCACUGGGACUGAGACACGGCCCAGACUCCUACGGGAGGCAGCAGUGGGGAAUAUUGGACAAUGGGCGCAAGCCUGGUCCAGCCAUGCCGCGUGGAUGAUGAAGGCCC